UACGAAGGGGGCUAGCGUUGCUCGGAAUUACUGGGCGUAAAGCGCACGUAGGCGGACUCUUAAGUCGGGGGUGAAAGCCCAGGGCUCAACCCUGGAACUGCCUUCGAUACUGGGAGUCUUGAGUGUGGAAGAGGUUGGUGGAACUGCGAGUGUAGAGGUGAAAUUCGUAGAUAUUCGCAAGAACACCAGUGGCGAAGGCGACUUACUGGACACAUAUUGACGCUGAGGUGCGAAAGCGUGGGGAGCAAACAGG
This 253-nucleotide ribosomal RNA is filed under the name uncultured bacterium. RNAcentral's name for it is "partial 16S ribosomal RNA". It matches the Rfam family "Bacterial small subunit ribosomal RNA", at positions 524 to 776 of the family's 1533-position model. The record is from RNAcentral.